RNAcentral lists this small nucleolar RNA (100 nucleotides) under Oryza sativa (Asian cultivated rice). RNAcentral describes it as "Z280 small nucleolar RNA". The record is from RNAcentral. Lineage: Eukaryota; Viridiplantae; Streptophyta; Magnoliopsida; Poales; Poaceae.
CAAAUAGAUGAGUUUUGGAGGAGACGUACUCUCCCAAGGUUACAGAAUUGAUAAAGGAGAUGCUGAUAAACUGAAAACUAGUACGGUUUUUACUGAAUUG